GCAGCCGCCACGGUAAUACGGAGGGAGCUAGCGUUGUUCGGAAUUACUGGGCGUAAAGCGCACGUAGGCGGUUAUUCAAGUCAGAGGUGAAAGCCCGGGGCUCAACCCCGGAACUGCCUUUGAAACUAGAUGACUAGAAUCUUGGAGAGGUCAGUGGAAUUCCGAGUGUAGAGGUGAAAUUCGUAGAUAUUCGGAAGAACACCAGUGGCGAAGGCGACUGACUGGACAAGUAUUGACGCUGAGGUGCGAAAGCGUGGGGAGCAAACAGGAUUAGAUACCCGUGUAGUCCCUGUCUCUUAUAC
This 302-nucleotide ribosomal RNA is filed under the name uncultured bacterium. RNAcentral's name for it is "partial 16S ribosomal RNA". It matches the Rfam family "Bacterial small subunit ribosomal RNA", at positions 508 to 807 of the family's 1533-position model. The record is from RNAcentral.